Molecule: transfer RNA, 84 nt
Filed under: Gelria sp.
Lineage: Bacteria; Bacillati; Bacillota; Clostridia; Thermoanaerobacterales; Thermoanaerobacteraceae
Description: tRNA-Leu
Rfam family: tRNA
About the family: Transfer RNA (tRNA) molecules are approximately 80 nucleotides in length. Their secondary structure includes four short double-helical elements and three loops (D, anti-codon, and T loops).
Source: RNAcentral
GCGGGUGUGGUGGAAUGGCAGACACGCAUGGCUUAGGACCAUGUGGAGCAAUCCGUGGGGGUUCAAAUCCCUUCACCCGCACCA